This 79-nucleotide non-coding RNA is filed under the name Prymnesium polylepis. The record is from RNAcentral. Lineage: Eukaryota; Haptophyta; Prymnesiales; Prymnesiaceae.
AGGUCCACCAAGCAGGCGGAGGCCGAGGGUGGAAAUGCAGCGUCGCAAGCAAACGCCGACGCGCAGUCAUCCGUAUCGC